RNAcentral lists this ribosomal RNA (330 nucleotides) under uncultured eukaryote. Its description in RNAcentral is "partial 18S ribosomal RNA". It matches the Rfam family "Eukaryotic small subunit ribosomal RNA", at positions 1470 to 1796 of the family's 1831-position model. The record is from RNAcentral.
CCCUUAGAUGUUCUGGGCUGCACGCGCGCUACACUGAUGCACUCAACGAGUUUACGACCUUGCCCGAUAGGGUUGGGUAAUCUUUUUAAAAUGCAUCGUGAUGGGGAUAGAUUAUUGCAAUUAUUAAUCUUCAACGAGGAAUGCCUAGUAAACGCAAGUCAUCAGCUUGCAUUGAUUACGUCCCUGCCCUUUGUACACACCGCCCGUCGCUCCUACCGAUUGAAUGUUCCGAUGAAUACCAUGGACUGAGAGUAUGAAUGGGUUCGCCUAUUUCUGCUUCUCGGGAAGUGGAGUAAAUCUUAACAUUUAGAGGAAGGAGAAGUCGUAACA